GAGAAAUGUGUUCUCUGUCUGUAGAUUUAUUUUUGAUGUUAUAAUUUGUUGAGAUUUCUUGUUUAUUUUUAGAUGGGAUACAGCUGGACAAGAAAAGUUUAAAUGCAUUGCAUCUUCAUAUUACAGAGGAGCAAGAGGCAAAUUCUGCUUAUAAAUUGACAGAAAAUGAGGCUAUUAAAGUAGCAAACACAAUUAAUGCUGAAUAUUGGCCAGUAUCUUCAAAAACAGGU
Non-coding RNA from Parasteatoda tepidariorum (common house spider), 230 nucleotides. Lineage: Eukaryota; Metazoa; Arthropoda; Arachnida; Araneae; Theridiidae. The record is from RefSeq and is a predicted model, not a curated record.